Pomacea canaliculata is the source of this 1975-nucleotide long non-coding RNA. RefSeq lists it as uncharacterized. The record is from RefSeq and is a predicted model, not a curated record. NCBI's taxonomy places the organism in Eukaryota, Metazoa, Mollusca, Gastropoda, Architaenioglossa, Ampullariidae. The transcript is spliced from 2 exons.
UAGUCUCUCUUGCAUAUCUUUACAUCUUGUAUGUAUUUUACCAAGCACCUGUAGUUUGGCAAAAUACGAGUAACCAAAUUAACAGCUGCAUUUUAUAUACAAUCUUUAAAAUUUAUGUUACACUAGUUAACAAUAACUUUCUUUGACAUAACACUAAUUUUGCAAUUCUUUAGAGAUCGUUAAACAGGUUAGAUACGGGUAAAAGGCGGUCCACUUGUGCAGCGAUAAAAAGGGUACUCGACCCUAGCACGAAAUCCGAACGUGGAAAUACUUUUUUGUUAAGUAUGCUAUCCACGAGAUGCCUACACCAAAGCCUUAAACAAAGAUUUUUUUUUAUGAGUAGCUUCUACUUGUUUGUACCAGUCAAGAAAAAAUAGAAUACUGUUCCGAAGCUUGACCGACUGUAGGUUGUUUAAUAGAUAUAAACAUACAUCGUAAUCGCUAUAAUUAGCGAUGCAUGUGUACUGUAGCUGGAUAGUGUUACUCAGCACCACGGGAACACUCGAGUGUAUAAACAGAUGCUAGGUUGAUGUCUGCUGACUCAACGCCCCCUUACAGGUGAAUGACGCCGGAUUAAGCCAUCUUCGCAUCAACACCUGGCAGCAAGGCAGCCAGCCAUGUAAACAAAUGCUACAGCGUGCCUGAGACCAGUUGAACCCAGAACGGCCAACCUUCAUGGCAUUGGUUAUGGGCACUAACCAUUGUCACCAGGAUGCUUUUUAGCUGAGUAUUAGAAUUUAACAGUGCUUGCAUUUUCCACUUAAGGUAAGUUUUAUUGCUCUGAGCUCAGUAGAUGCCUUUAAUAUAAACAGUAAUGCCUCAAGCCCCUUGAUAAAGCUGGAGCAGGAUAUUUCCUUAUGCCUGUCACUCAAUACAAAGCAUUACUAUUCUAUAAUUUGUGUCAAAGGUAUGAGUAAUUAUCUCAUGCUGUGUUGUGAACUGCAACUUGUUUAGGAGCAAUUGAGAUUACAUACUUUUUAAUGUUUUCUGAAUAAAAAUGCACUAUCGGUUAUAGUGCUGUUAAUAAAUGCAUACAGCAUCUUAUUUAAAGUUGCUGAAAAGGUGUUAUAAUUACAGGACACAUGAAAGCUAUGCAAGUAACAUGUAUAGGAAUAUUAGUGCUAAGUAUACAGUAUUGAAAAUUCAAGACUUACUUUGUGCUUAUGUAACUAUAUAUAAUUAUACUGAGGGAGGACUGACACAACACUGUUCAAUGAUGAUAGUGAUCCUCGCAAAAUCCUGCUUGUUUUGGUCUGUCUCUUGCCUUCUUCAGUCUCUCCAGAAUUAUCCUUGAUAGACUCCACUAGGGAUGGACAGCAGCAUGAUCCCCCACAAAUUGUUGCACAGAGAGGUCUACUUUCUUCAGUAACUUGACCAGGUGGCCUAGUUUCCAGUCUGUUGGUACUAGCUCUUGUGGAGAAGGGGCUUUAAAAUCGAAGAUGUUCAAUUGCUGUACUUUUUUAAAGUCAACCUGAGACCAAUACAGCACGAAGAAAUACAGAACACUAGACAGUGACCCCAGCGCUUUUUCCUGCACCGAAAUUCAAGAGUGAUUUGCUAUGGCAGCUAAAGGCCUUUGCGCGGUCACUCUUCAUUCAUGGAGGGAAGUCACAUCCUUGCAAGUUGAACCUAUGUAUAAUGAUCAUGUAUGAAACCCAGCAAUAAAGAUCAAGCACAUCCUUCAAAAUUGAACUGCGGGUUGGGUUACUCAAGUAACCUGUAUUUUACUAUGAAAAAGACAUUUAACUUUUAUCUUGUCUUAAAGUAACAAAUUACACAGCACAUAGGUUUUCCCAUGGUAUAAACCUAGAUGUAUUCACUGUUGACAUGAAAAGACUUUACAAAUCGCAUGAGCUCAAUCUGCUACUGUAUGAAGUUAUAUUAAGUAGCAUCUCCAAAAUGUUUGUGAAUGUUAAGUUUGGGGAACUGAAAGCACUGUAGCUUUAUCAAACUUCACAUGAAUGAACAAAAAUUG